AGGACGAACGCUGGCGGCAGGCCUAACACAUGCAAGUCGAGCGCCCGUAGCAAUACGGGAGCGGCAGACGGGAUAGUAACACGUGGGAACGCGCCCUUCGGUUCGGAAUAACUCAGGGAAACUUGAGCUAAUACCGGAUACGCCCUUACGGGGAAAGAUUUAUUGCCGAAGGAACGGCCCGCGUCCGAUUAGCUAGUUGGUGAGGUAAUGGCUCACCAAGGCGACGAUCGGUAGCUGGUCUGAGAGGAUGACCAGCAUCACUGGGACUGAGACACGGCCCAGACUCCUACGGGAGGCAGCAGUGGGGAAUAUUGGACAAUGGGCGCAAGCCUGAUCCAGCCAUGCCGCGUGGAUGAUGAAGGCCUUAGGGUUGUAAAGUCCUUUUAACGGGGAAGAUAAUGACGGUACCCGUAGAAUAAGCCCGGCUAACUUCGCGCCAGCAGCCGC
RNAcentral lists this ribosomal RNA (447 nucleotides) under uncultured bacterium. Its description in RNAcentral is "SSU rRNA". It matches the Rfam family "Bacterial small subunit ribosomal RNA", at positions 26 to 518 of the family's 1533-position model. The record is from RNAcentral.